This 687-nucleotide ribosomal RNA is filed under the name uncultured Actinomycetes bacterium. RNAcentral describes it as "bacterial SSU rRNA". It matches the Rfam family "Bacterial small subunit ribosomal RNA", at positions 49 to 744 of the family's 1533-position model. The record is from RNAcentral. Lineage: Bacteria; Bacillati; Actinomycetota; Actinomycetes.
UAACACAUGCAAGUCGAACGAGGCCCAUGCAGUGGCAACACUGCGGAAGGCCUAGUGGCGAACGGGUGAGUAACACGUGAGGAACUUGCCCCGGAGACCGGGAUAACUCUCCGAAAGGAGAGCUAAUACCGGAUGUCCUCACCGAAUCGCAUGGUUUGGUGAGGAAAUGGAUUCCGCUCCGGGAGAGCCUCGCGGCCUAUCAGCUAGUUGGUGGGGUAACGGCCCACCAAGGCAUCGACGGGUAGCUGGUCUGAGAGGACGAUCAGCCACACUGGGACUGAGACACGGCCCAGACUCCUACGGGAGGCAGCAGUGGGGAAUCUUGCGCAAUGGGCGAAAGCCUGACGCAGCAACGCCGCGUGCGGGAUGACGGCCUUCGGGUUGUAAACCGCUUUCAGUGGGGACGAACCAAGACGGUACCCACAGAAGAAGCCCCGGCCAACUACGUGCCAGCAGCCGCGGUAACACGUAGGGGGCAAGCGUUGUCCGGAUUUAUUGGGCGUAAAGAGCUCGUAGGUGGUUCGAUAAGUCGGGUGUGAAACCUCCAGGCUCAACCUGGAGACGCCACCCGAUACUGUCGUGACUAGAGUCCAGUAGGGGAGCAUGGAAUUCCUGGUGUAGCGGUGAAAUGCGCAGAUAUCAGGAGGAACACCAGUGGCGAAGGCGGUGCUCCGGGCUGGAACUGAC